UGAGUCUGGAACAUAAUACAUGAACUGAACUGCGUCUCUAAUGCAUGACAUGGACAGAGAAUCAUAUCGUGGUUACACUGAGCCAUUGAGUACAUGGCUUACUGCUGAGUUUUAAAGCUAGAGGGUUGUCUCAUAAGUAACACUUCCUCCAAGAUAGAUUCAUUAAAGAAAACAAAAUGUCUAAAUCAAGGAUGUUUGGGGGCUAUAGUGUAUCUCCCCCUUGGGACACUAUGUCCCUUGAAGGAU
RNAcentral lists this long non-coding RNA (246 nucleotides) under Capsicum annuum. Its description in RNAcentral is "long non-coding RNA (CANN_LNC010084)". The record is from RNAcentral. Lineage: Eukaryota; Viridiplantae; Streptophyta; Magnoliopsida; Solanales; Solanaceae.